This 2565-nucleotide transfer RNA is filed under the name Homo sapiens (human). RNAcentral's name for it is "HSALNT0334790". The stretch from base 1458 to 1530 matches the Rfam family "tRNA". Lineage: Eukaryota; Metazoa; Chordata; Mammalia; Primates; Hominidae. The record is from RNAcentral.
GAGGACGGGCACUCCUUCCUCCGCGGCCAAACGUUGCAUUUCCCAAGACCACCCUGACCCGCCACGCCCCCAUCCUGUGCCUAUAAAAACUCCCGAGACCCUAGCGGGCACAGACACAAGCGGCUGGACAUGAAGAGGAACACACCGGCGGGAGAACACAGAACACGCACCCUUUCUUUUAGUCACCCUGGAGGCCUCGGAGAAGGCGGUUUCAGUGAUCCGUGAAGAGACCCCGAGUCUUUUACAUCCCGGAGAAUGACAAGAGAGCGAGUACCUGGGCGACGUUUACGUUCUGGGAUUUCGGGAGAUGCGGUUUUCUGCACGCCAGGGGCCAAGCCUGAGACGUAGAUGGACGGCAGGGAUAGGAGCUCUCUCCGCGCCACAAACGCCCCUGCUCAUACCUGGGUUCCUUGAUUUUCCUGCCUAUAUAACCCAGCCUCCCAUGGCCGGGCUCUGAGCUCUCAUUCUGCGGACUGGGACAAAGGGGUUAACUGUGAUGCGCUUUGUAUAACCCCAGGAUUCUGCACUUGCCCAAGGGCGAGGUGCAAAUCAAAAACUACGCACAACUGAACACCGAGAUCAGGUGAGUCCUGAGUGUCUCACGACAUAAAAUCCUUACGAUUUUAACAAGAGUUGUAUUUGUGCUAGCACUGUUAACUGACAAACGCAUGCCAGAUCCUAUCUGUCUUUAGCUCAAUGUGUGACGUUAGACACGUCGUUUUGCUCUUCAACUUUCUUAUUUGGAAAAAAAACAAGUGUUCUAGAUUUGCAGAGGACAUUUUCGGAGCUAAGUUCCAGUAGCUAUACUGUAAGUUGAUUUCUUGGGCAGUUCUGUUGGUGAGGAAAGAGGGCAAAUUGAGAAAUGAACAAACACAGAAGUUGCAAAAGCCCUGUGACUUACAGCACAGGACAAGUCUACAAACCCUGCCAUGCUACACUAAGCUCUAAUUGUUUUAACACCAGCUUACUCAGACCCGAUGAUCCAAGAUAAGACCAAAGCCAAACGGAUCCAGCAACUCUGCGCAGAUCUUCAUGUUCCAGCAGCUAAGUUCCACUGAAUAAACCUAUGAUUCGCCUAGUUUAGAAAUUGUCUAGUCCCUCCUGAGAAGGACCUUACUAACUUUCCCCCUAAAAGUGUCCUAUGAAUAGCUCCAGUCCCCAAACCCUUUAAAUUCUGGUCUCUGACUCACCCUUGUUUUAGGCAGUACUGGGACUCCACAGAGGUACGGCUCUUUGCUCAGCAAGUUUAAUAAAUCCAAGGAUCCCGACUCAGAUUGAAAAAGCAGAGGAUGGUCACUGCCUUCCAGGUCUGAGGCUGUCUCCCAGAAGCUUCACUCCUGGCUUCGCCUUGGUAGGGAAGUUUCCGGAGGUGUUCGAAAACCUGGAAACUUAAGUGGGACAUAGGACGCUAUUUGUGUCCCGGUUAUAAAAAUUGGCAGAAAAGACAAGUGUAGUGUGGGGGAUUAGCUCAAGCGGUAGAGCGCCUGCUUAGCAUGCAAGAGGUAGCAGGAUCGAUGCCUGCAUUCUCCAGCUUCUUUUAAUCCCUAGGCUACCAAUGGUAUCUGGCCUAGAUGACAGUUGCACAGUACUCGUUAUUGUUGUGGCAGUAUCUGUGUGGAUUAUUGGCCUCAUCCACUGUGCCUGGUGCUGAAGAAGUGCUUCAGGAAUGAAUCCACAGAUUGAGAUGAAAAUUCUCAAGCUUUCUCUUUCUCAACUCCUCCAAGGUUCUCCAUCACUUUCUGAGUCCUACAGGAGGAAAGUGCUAUUGAAGAUGCGGCUAUGCCGUGAAGCUCUGGGGCUGGGAGAAGCUGUCCCACCACUUCCGGGCGGCGGUGGCGGCAAGGAGCAGUUUGUAUUCCCCGUUGUUUCUCCUGUUGACGACAUCUGUGCCUCUUAUCUGGGAGAAGAUCAGAGGAAACUGCCGCCUCCCUAGAGCCCGUGUUUUAUUGAUCCCCGUGUAAGAGUCUUGUUGCCCCUGCUUCCAUCCUCCCUUCUUUUCCACUCCUGCCACAGGUUUGGCACUUCUAGGUACUCAGGUGUCAGCGCAAAUUUCCCGUCUUUAGACAAGUACAGCUAAAAGUGAUGCCCACACGAUCUCUCAGUUCCUAUUACAUCUUCACAAAUAUCGUCUCCUCCGGAAAGUAUGUCUUUGAAUUAUUGGUUUGUUUUUCUCUCCCCUAGAAUGGGAGCUUCCUGAGUACCGAAACACUGUCUAUGUAGACUGUGUUUAACUCACUUCAUCACCAUGUGUAGAGUUAAGGUCCUAUAAAAUACGGUUACUGCCUUGAACAGAUGAGGUGAGUAGUAUAAGGAAACGGAGAUCAAACACAAAGCAAUACUUAAAAAAAUUAUCCUGCCACAUUUCUAAAAUCUUAAUAAUAGCAUUCACUAAUGUUUUUUGGUUUUCCUUUGUGCUUUCUCCAUAGCCCCUUAUUCUUAUCAUUAUUUUUGACAUUUGACUCACAAUUUUCCAUUUGUUUUCAAAUGACCAAGCAGAUUUUCCAAUUUUCUAGUUAAUUCCUGUGUUUCCUUCACCAUUCUGUUUUCUGGUUUUCUUUUGGGCUA